UGGCGACGGGUGAGUAACGCGUGGGGAACCUGCCCUGUACAGGGGGAUAACACUUAGAAUAGGUGCUAAUACCGCAUAAGCGCACAGUAUCGCAUGAUACAGUGUGAAAAACUCCGGUGGUACAGGAUGGACCCGCGUCUGAUUAGCUGGUUGGCGGGGUAACGGCCCACCAAGGCGACGAUCAGUAGCCGGCCUGAGAGGGUGAACCGGCCACAUUGGGACUGAGACACGGCCCAAACUCCUACGGGAGGCAGCAG
This 257-nucleotide ribosomal RNA is filed under the name uncultured bacterium. RNAcentral describes it as "partial 16S ribosomal RNA". It matches the Rfam family "Bacterial small subunit ribosomal RNA", at positions 96 to 354 of the family's 1533-position model. The record is from RNAcentral.